RNAcentral lists this ribosomal RNA (544 nucleotides) under Aspergillus flavus. Its description in RNAcentral is "eukaryotic LSU rRNA". The stretch from base 170 to 323 matches the Rfam family "5.8S ribosomal RNA". Lineage: Eukaryota; Fungi; Ascomycota; Eurotiomycetes; Eurotiales; Aspergillaceae. The record is from RNAcentral.
UUCUAGCGAGCCCAACCUCCCACCCGUGUUUACUGUACCUUAGUUGCUUCGGCGGGCCCGCCAUUCAUGGCCGCCGGGGGCUCUCAGCCCCGGGCCCGCGCCCGCCGGAGACACCACGAACUCUGUCUGAUCUAGUGAAGUCUGAGUUGAUUGUAUCGCAAUCAGUUAAAACUUUCAACAAUGGAUCUCUUGGUUCCGGCAUCGAUGAAGAACGCAGCGAAAUGCGAUAACUAGUGUGAAUUGCAGAAUUCCGUGAAUCAUCGAGUCUUUGAACGCACAUUGCGCCCCCUGGUAUUCCGGGGGGCAUGCCUGUCCGAGCGUCAUUGCUGCCCAUCAAGCACGGCUUGUGUGUUGGGUCGUCGUCCCCUCUCCGGGGGGGACGGGCCCCAAAGGCAGCGGCGGCACCGCGUCCGAUCCUCGAGCGUAUGGGGCUUUGUCACCCGCUCUGUAGGCCCGGCCGGCGCUUGCCGAACGCAAAUCAAUCUUUUUCCAGGUUGACCUCGGAUCAGGUAGGGAUACCCGCUGAACUUAAGCAUAUCAAUAA